Molecule: ribosomal RNA, 2923 nt
Filed under: Escherichia coli
Lineage: Bacteria; Pseudomonadati; Pseudomonadota; Gammaproteobacteria; Enterobacterales; Enterobacteriaceae
Description: partial 23S ribosomal RNA
Rfam family: Bacterial large subunit ribosomal RNA
Source: RNAcentral
GGGUUGUGAGGUUAAGCGACUAAGCGUACACGGUGGAUGCCCUGGCAGUCAGAGGCGAUGAAGGACGUGCUAAUCUGCGAUAAGCGUCGGUAAGGUGAUAUGAACCGUUAUAACCGGCGAUUUCCGAAUGGGGAAACCCAGUGUGAUUCGUCACACUAUCAUUAACUGAAUCCAUAGGUUAAUGAGGCGAACCGGGGGAACUGAAACAUCUAAGUACCCCGAGGAAAAGAAAUCAACCGAGAUUCCCCCAGUAGCGGCGAGCGAACGGGGAGCAGCCCAGAGCCUGAAUCAGUGUGUGUGUUAGUGGAAGCGUCUGGAAAGGCGCGCGAUACAGGGUGACAGCCCCGUACACAAAAAUGCACAUGCUGUGAGCUCGAUGAGUAGGGCGGGACACGUGGUAUCCUGUCUGAAUAUGGGGGGACCAUCCUCCAAGGCUAAAUACUCCUGACUGACCGAUAGUGAACCAGUACCGUGAGGGAAAGGCGAAAAGAACCCCGGCGAGGGGAGUGAAAAAGAACCUGAAACCGUGUACGUACAAGCAGUGGGAGCCUCUUUAUGGGGUGACUGCGUACCUUUUGUAUAAUGGGUCAGCGACUUAUAUUCUGUAGCAAGGUUAACCGAAUAGGGGAGCCGAAGGGAAACCGAGUCUUAACUGGGCGUUAAGUUGCAGGGUAUAGACCCGAAACCCGGUGAUCUAGCCAUGGGCAGGUUGAAGGUUGGGUAACACUAACUGGAGGACCGAACCGACUAAUGUUGAAAAAUUAGCGGAUGACUUGUGGCUGGGGGUGAAAGGCCAAUCAAACCGGGAGAUAGCUGGUUCUCCCCGAAAGCUAUUUAGGUAGCGCCUCGUGAAUUCAUCUCCGGGGGUAGAGCACUGUUUCGGCAAGGGGGUCAUCCCGACUUACCAACCCGAUGCAAACUGCGAAUACCGGAGAAUGUUAUCACGGGAGACACACGGCGGGUGCUAACGUCCGUCGUGAAGAGGGAAACAACCCAGACCGCCAGCUAAGGUCCCAAAGUCAUGGUUAAGUGGGAAACGAUGUGGGAAGGCCCAGACAGCCAGGAUGUUGGCUUAGAAGCAGCCAUCAUUUAAAGAAAGCGUAAUAGCUCACUGGUCGAGUCGGCCUGCGCGGAAGAUGUAACGGGGCUAAACCAUGCACCGAAGCUGCGGCAGCGACACUAUGUGUUGUUGGGUAGGGGAGCGUUCUGUAAGCCUGCGAAGGUGUACUGUGAGGUAUGCUGGAGGUAUCAGAAGUGCGAAUGCUGACAUAAGUAACGAUAAAGCGGGUGAAAAGCCCGCUCGCCGGAAGACCAAGGGUUCCUGUCCAACGUUAAUCGGGGCAGGGUGAGUCGACCCCUAAGGCGAGGCCGAAAGGCGUAGUCGAUGGGAAACAGGUUAAUAUUCCUGUACUUGGUGUUACUGCGAAGGGGGGACGGAGAAGGCUAUGUUGGCCGGGCGACGGUUGUCCCGGUUUAAGCGUGUAGGCUGGUUUUCCAGGCAAAUCCGGAAAAUCAAGGCUGAGGCGUGAUGACGAGGCACUACGGUGCUGAAGCAACAAAUGCCCUGCUUCCAGGAAAAGCCUCUAAGCAUCAGGUAACAUCAAAUCGUACCCCAAACCGACACAGGUGGUCAGGUAGAGAAUACCAAGGCGCUUGAGAGAACUCGGGUGAAGGAACUAGGCAAAAUGGUGCCGUAACUUCGGGAGAAGGCACGCUGAUAUGUAGGUGAAGUCCCUCGCGGAUGGAGCUGAAAUCAGUCGAAGAUACCAGCUGGCUGCAACUGUUUAUUAAAAACACAGCACUGUGCAAACACGAAAGUGGACGUAUACGGUGUGACGCCUGCCCGGUGCCGGAAGGUUAAUUGAUGGGGUUAGCGCAAGCGAAGCUCUUGAUCGAAGCCCCGGUAAACGGCGGCCGUAACUAUAACGGUCCUAAGGUAGCGAAAUUCCUUGUCGGGUAAGUUCCGACCUGCACGAAUGGCGUAAUGAUGGCCAGGCUGUCUCCACCCGAGACUCAGUGAAAUUGAACUCGCUGUGAAGAUGCAGUGUACCCGCGGCAAGACGGAAAGACCCCGUGAACCUUUACUAUAGCUUGACACUGAACAUUGAGCCUUGAUGUGUAGGAUAGGUGGGAGGCUUUGAAGUGUGGACGCCAGUCUGCAUGGAGCCGACCUUGAAAUACCACCCUUUAAUGUUUGAUGUUCUAACGUUGGCCCCUAAUCGGGGUUGCGGACAGUGUCUGGUGGGUAGUUUGACUGGGGCGGUCUCCUCCUAAAGAGUAACGGAGGAGCACGAAGGUUGGCUAAUCCUGGUCGGACAUCAGGAGGUUAGUGCAAUGGCAUAAGCCAGCUUGACUGCGAGCGUGACGGCGCGAGCAGGUGCGAAAGCAGGUCAUAGUGAUCCGGUGGUUCUGAAUGGAAGGGCCAUCGCUCAACGGAUAAAAGGUACUCCGGGGAUAACAGGCUGAUACCGCCCAAGAGUUCAUAUCGACGGCGGUGUUUGGCACCUCGAUGUCGGCUCAUCACAUCCUGGGGCUGAAGUAGGUCCCAAGGGUAUGGCUGUUCGCCAUUUAAAGUGGUACGCGAGCUGGGUUUAGAACGUCGUGAGACAGUUCGGUCCCUAUCUGCCGUGGGCGCUGGAGAACUGAGGGGGGCUGCUCCUAGUACGAGAGGACCGGAGUGGACGCAUCACUGGUGUUCGGGUUGUCAUGCCAAUGGCACUGCCCGGUAGCUAAAUGCGGAAGAGAUAAGUGCUGAAAGCAUCUAAGCACGAAACUUGCCCCGAGAUGAGUUCUCCCUGACUCCCUGAGAGUCCUGAAGGAACGUUGAAGACGACGACGUUGAUAGGCCGGGUGUGUAAGCGCAGCGAUGCGUUGAGCUAACCGGUACUAAUGAACCGUGAGGCUUAACCUUACAACGCCGAAG